RNAcentral lists this ribosomal RNA (492 nucleotides) under uncultured bacterium. RNAcentral describes it as "partial 16S ribosomal RNA". It matches the Rfam family "Bacterial small subunit ribosomal RNA", at positions 29 to 507 of the family's 1533-position model. The record is from RNAcentral.
AGUGAACGCUGGCGGUAGGCCUAACACAUGCAAGUCGAACGGCAGCACAGUAAGAGCUUGCUCUUACGGGUGGCGAGUGGCGGACGGGUGAGGAAUACAUCGGAAUCUACUUUUUCGUGGGGGAUAACGUAGGGAAACUUACGCUAAUACCGCAUACGACCUACGGUUGAAAGCAGGGGAUCUUCGGACCUUGCGCGAUUGAAUGAGCCGAUGUCGGAUUAGCUAGUUGGCGGGGUAAAGGCCCACCAAGGCGACGAUCCGUAGCUGGUCUGAGAGGAUGAUCAGCCACACUGGAACUGAGACACGGUCCAGACUCCUACGGGAGGCAGCAGUGGGGAAUAUUGGACAAAGGGCGCAAGCAUGAUCCAGCCAUACCGCGUGGGUGAAGAAGGCCUUCGGGUUGUAAAGCCCUUUUGUUGGGAAAGAAAAGCAGCAGGUUAAUACCCCGCUGUUCUGACGGUACCCAAAGAAUAAGCACCGGCUAACUUCGUG